UCUGUUUAUGACUGCUGUUCCUGAGUGGCUCGACCAAUUAGGUAUAUACUGGGAUGUCUCAUCUGCUUUACCCAGAAACAAAAUAGCUGCCAACCCCCUGAACUGCCAUUAGGAUUAGACAUGACUCAGGCAUCUAUUGACUCUGAAACGUCAAGUUAAGCAGUUCUGCUUCCCCCAUCAGCAGGCACUUGGACACCUGUGGAAGCAGUAGAAAGGACCUGGAGCCAUUAGAGCUAUAGUCAUCUCUGUCAUUAGAUGUUGCAUAGUUGCCCAAGGUCUGCCUGAAGCCUUGGGAGGAUCUGGAUGCUGACUCUGAACCUUGCCCCAGAUGGAAGUGCCUGUUGAGGGAAUGGUGUUCUCAGGAUCUCUCCAAAACACCUUGCACACCAAUAACUAUUGGAAGAAAUGAGAAGCUUCAUUUUACAGAUGCACAGAGUUUCAGGGUCCAGUUUGGGGACAUGGGGAAACUGUAUUGUUUUUGCAUUACCAGAGCACCCUGCAAACCCACCUCCAUCCACGACCUGAAGUUCUAUAGGACACAAUGACUUCAGUAUAUAUAUUUAAGGGCUAGAAAGAGGCAUUAAAAUCACAUGGUUGUAAAAGUUAUAAAUAUAAUGAAACAGUAUUUCUUCCCUUUUUUUAAAAGCAUUCUAUGUGGGCACAGUUGGUUAUGCUUUGUGCAUGUGCUACAUUAACACAUUUACAAGUGGACUUAAAAAAUAUUGCCCCAAGUGUAUUCCUUUAUCUGUGACCAUAGAUACAUGGUCUUUAGGCUGUGAUAGCCUAAAGACAGCCUUUCCAGGUCUCUUUUGAAAACAGUAUUUUAAAGUUGUAGUCCUACUGAUAAGUCUCUGAAAUUGGCUUCUUGGAGUGUGUACCAAGAACUCACAUUAUUCUUCGCUCAUUUUCUAUCAUGUAUUUUGCAAGGGACAGCCCUGAAGACAGAUGGAAUGGUACCAUUAAGAGAUUCUGUAGACCAAAAUUUAGGUGCGGACUUAGUUGUUAAUCACAUCAGUCUCAAUUUAAAAAACAAAUGGCCUUUUAAAAAAAGCAAACUGUGCUGUUGCACUGCAGUAUAUGCAAGGCAUUUGUCAAAUGCACAUCCUUUAAUCAACAGAUGAAGGCCCACUGAGUCUUUUCUAUUUAUAUUUACCUAAAAGUCAACUUGCUCAGCCCCACUAUUAAAAGUUCCAAAUCAUCUCUCUGUGUUAAAACUGAAAAAAACUUGUUGUAUUUCAGUAUUCUAAAAUAUAACCCAUUUCCCUUGAAGCCAAAAAUAAGGAUAUGUUUAUUUCUAUGGUUACAACAGUCGGUUGCACUGAUGGCAAAAUAAAAAGGUCCAUUGGAUAAGGACACACAGUUCUAUUAAACCUGAUUAAUCUUUUAAAAAAUAAUUUUUAAAUGACUGUUCAAAGUCAGUGCCACAACUGAAAGCCUGAAAUAAUGUAACAUGUUUAUAACGCAGUCUGAGUUCAAAUUUUUUGUGGAAUUUUUAAAUUUCUAGCUUGCUUUAGCUAGAAACCAAUGUUUUCAAUAUUAUUCUAAAUACAAAAUUAUUCCUACUCUCUCUGCUCUCAGUCACUUUCAUCAGAGAACUUUGUUUGACUAUAUCUAACAGAUUUUCAGUUAGGUUUACUCACGUUACCUAAGUGAGAAACCACUGUUUUCUUCUUGCUUUGUACUACCUCUUUCCCUGAUUGGAUUCCUUAAGCAGAGAAAGACUAAGAAAAACUAGAUGGAAGGUGUAAUUUCAACAAAACAGAAACAUUUAACUUCAACAGUC
This 1783-nucleotide long non-coding RNA is filed under the name Taeniopygia guttata (zebra finch). RNAcentral's name for it is "lncRNA (ENSTGUG00000025903.1)". The record is from RNAcentral. Lineage: Eukaryota; Metazoa; Chordata; Aves; Passeriformes; Estrildidae.